GCGCGAUUCUCGAAUGUAGGAUGAUUUAAGCCUCCUAGAAAUGCGUUUAGAUCUCCAGGAAUUGUCUGACAACACUUUGUCUUGUCGACUUGAUCUUCGGGCAGAACUCCGUUAGUCGAUUCGUUGAAGAGUUGUGUAGUCAAUGCAAAAGCUUCCUCCAAUGCUUGCUGAAUGACCUCAGAAAAUUAUGUAACCCUCCUAUUUAUAGUUGUAGGGGUAGGCAGUCCAAGUGUAAAUAAUCUUUUCUGCCUCAUUCUGAUUGGUCCAUUCAAUUUUCAAGCUUAUCACAAAUGUUAUGUGACAAGGUUGCUUGUAAUUGGCCAAAAACAUAUCAUUUGGGACACUUGGCGAUGUUUCAUUGGCUCUUGAAUUUGACUUGGAUUACCACUUUAUUUGAUCGUUUGGCCUUGCCUCAUUGGUCUUUAAUUUGACUGGGAUGCCAUGUCAUUUGACACGUAGCAUGAGUUUGGGCCUCAAGGUGAGAUGGACUUUGAUGAAGAAUAAAACAGGUUUAUAGCCCAAACUAAUUUUAGACCCAAUAAAAUAUGGAUCAAAUUCAAAUUUUAUAUGAAUUUGAUUCAAUAAAUUUUACGUGUCUACAAGUCCCAUGUUCAUAAUUUGAUUUGCAGGUACUUCAAAUGGCAAUAUCUAAACGAACAUACAUGUACGUUUUUACAGAAUAUGGUUGAAUAGGGAAAUAAAGGAAUAGAACGAUUUCUUCACUAUUUGCUUCCGAUAGUACCAAAACCAAAUUGGAAAGAGAACAAAAUUCAACAAAGAAUACACAAAAUAUAACAUAGAGAGGAUAAUAAUUCUUGUCCAAUUCUGGAUUUUGUUUCUUUUUUUUUAUUUUUUUACAAGGAAUAACACCACCACAACAAGGUAUACACGCAUAUACAUAUUUUUACGGAUCUGGGUAUUCACAUAUGUAGAUGAUUUUUCUUUCUCAGGAUUGAAAGUAAUAUCUACCCACAAAGAUGAAAGAAUGACAACAUAAACUCAAAAACGAAAAUAUUACAUAUUCCUAAAAACAAAUAGACGAAGGGAAUGAGGUGAAAGGACGAAACUCGCACCUUUAUUGGCACAGCAAACAAGGACCGACGUCAAAUUUUUUGGCGACCCUGAACUCAACCCAGGACACCAAUUUUAACACGAAAACUAUAAAGAAGCCAGCUAUUUCAAGACCCAAUUUUGCUUGAACCUUUUCGAAGUAUAAGCUGCUCUCUCUUUUGAUUUUUCUCUCUGUUUUUCUUCCAAAUUUUGCUCUAAUUUCAAACCCCUUUAUCUCAAAAACCUCUUUUCAAAUUUCCCCUUUGAUUUGAAAAAUAAAAAAAACAACUUUCAAGAACUUUUUUCACUGCUGUUUUAUCCGAAUUUUUCUACUGUCCGAAUUUUUUACCUCUCUUCAAAUUUCUUUUUCUUUCUUAUAGAUCCAAAACCUCACUCAAAAUUUUGUUUUUAUUUUGGAUCUUCAACCUCUAUUUUUUUCGUUUCCAAAACCUUGUCUCAAGCAAAGCACACCCCUCCCUAUUUAUAGGAACAAAUUCGAACUUCAAGUCCGGAUUUGAAACCCUAAAAUUAAAAAAAUAGAAAGGAAAGGAGGGAGAUUUUAAAUUUUGAAUCAAGAAUCUCCUCCAAAUGGACUUUUCAGAGCCAUUAAUGGCCGAUUUUCACAAAAUGGGGACUGUUUCUUCUGAUUCUUUAGGGAUUUACUGGCUUGGGGUGGUUUGGGGGAGAUUCUCAUGCAGGUGUAGGCGGUUAUGUCUGCCAUGGCAGCAAACUAGGGUUAUGGCAUUUUUGGUGGUGGUGGAGAAGGGAGAAAGAAGAAAGAAGAAAAAGGGAUCGGCUGGUUAUUG
Molecule: long non-coding RNA, 1856 nt
Filed under: Capsicum annuum
Lineage: Eukaryota; Viridiplantae; Streptophyta; Magnoliopsida; Solanales; Solanaceae
Description: long non-coding RNA (CANN_LNC000714)
Source: RNAcentral